UACGGGGGGGGUAAGCGUUGUUCGGAAUUACUGGGCGUAAAGGGCUCGUAGGCGGCCAACUAAGUCAGACGUGAAAUCCCUCAGCUUAACUGGGGAACUGCGUCUGAUACUGGAUGGCUUGGAUUCGGGAGAGGAAUGCGGAAUUCCAGGUGUAGCGGUGAAAUGCGUAGAUAUCGGGAGGAACACCAGUGGCGAAGGCGACUACCUGGCCUGUUCUUGACGCUGAGGCGCGAAAGCUAGGGGAGCAAACGGGG
RNAcentral lists this ribosomal RNA (254 nucleotides) under uncultured bacterium. RNAcentral describes it as "partial 16S ribosomal RNA". It matches the Rfam family "Bacterial small subunit ribosomal RNA", at positions 524 to 777 of the family's 1533-position model. The record is from RNAcentral.